Molecule: ribosomal RNA, 662 nt
Filed under: uncultured Lachnospiraceae bacterium
Lineage: Bacteria; Bacillati; Bacillota; Clostridia; Lachnospirales; Lachnospiraceae
Description: bacterial SSU rRNA
Rfam family: Bacterial small subunit ribosomal RNA
Source: RNAcentral
ACGAGCGAGAGAGAGCUUGUUUCUCGAGCGAGUGGCGAACGGGUGAGUAACGCGUGAGGAACCUGCCUCAAAGAGGGGGACAACAGUUGGAAACGACUGCUAAUACCGCAUAAGCCCACGGCUCGGCAUCGAGCAGAGGGAAAAGGAGCAAUCCGCUUUGAGAUGGCCUCGCGUCCGAUUAGCUAGUUGGUGAGGUAAUGGCCCACCAAGGCGACGAUCGGUAGCCGGACUGAGAGGUUGAACGGCCACAUUGGGACUGAGACACGGCCCAGACUCCUACGGGAGGCAGCAGUGGGGAAUAUUGCACAAUGGGGGAAACCCUGAUGCAGCGACGCCGCGUGGAGGAAGAAGGUCUUCGGAUUGUAAACUCCUGUUGUUGGGGAAGAUAAUGACGGUACCCAACAAGGAAGUGACGGCUAACUACGUGCCAGCAGCCGCGGUAAAACGUAGGUCACAAGCGUUGUCCGGAAUUACUGGGUGUAAAGGGAGCGCAGGCGGGAAGACAAGUUGGAAGUGAAAUCUAUGGGCUCAACCCAUAAACUGCUUUCAAAACUGUUUUUCUUGAGUAGUGCAGAGGUAGGCGGAAUUCCCGGUGUAGCGGUGGAAUGCGUAGAUAUCGGGAGGAACACCAGUGGCGAAGGCGGCCUACUGGGCACCAACUG